This is a non-coding RNA of Ictidomys tridecemlineatus (thirteen-lined ground squirrel), 879 nucleotides long. NCBI's taxonomy places the organism in Eukaryota, Metazoa, Chordata, Mammalia, Rodentia, Sciuridae. The record is from RefSeq and is a predicted model, not a curated record.
CUUCAGGUCAUGAGUCCAGCACUGUUGGUCUCAGUCCUCUUGGCUGCCCUGCAAAGGUUUGAACAUCCCCGUUACUGACCGUCCGAAAAUCCCACCCUCCAGUUGCAGGACACUUCUGUCACCCACAGGGGCAACUGGGCUCACUGGUCUUAAUAGGCACAAGGGGCUGUCCCUCCUCCAAACUUUUCAGCCCAGAAUUUCUCUGGCCACUCUUCACGCGGGCUGACAGGCUGUGGCCAUGUCUCCCCUCUCCUCUCUUUGCUGGCCGGGGCACUUGGUCUGACUGACCCCAAACAUAGAGAGUCUAUCCCAACCCAAACACUGGGCUACACCUCUGACUGUGUGGGGCCUAAGGGGUGUCACUGUUCCCACCGGGGACCACCUCCCUUUGGCCUUGCUAUCCCACCCCUCCUCUCAUCGUGACCUGCAGAUCCCAGAGCUCCCAUUCUCCUGGUCACUCCCGGACUGUCUUCUCUCGUUUCUCUGCAGAGUCCAGAAAAACCUAGGCUGACCAUGGCAGAUGAGCCUUCCUUCAACAAUGACCAACAAUUUCCAAACCGACAGAAACUGUACCGUGAAGAAUAACUCCUCACAAUUCCAGCUCCCUGGCCCACCCGGUGAUGACUUCUGAUCUACUUUCUCUCUCUAUUAACUUCACCAUUCAACAUAUUUCAUAGACAGGCUUUUCUGAGUCCAUUCCCAGAUUGCAGCCUUGACUGAUGAGUGACACUUCCAGACUCUUCCAGCCCAACAACUCUUGGCACCAGGGAGUUUGGAGGCAUACUUCUAAUGCGGAUUCACUGAAGACUUGUUUCAGAAAAGGUGACGAGUCCUUGCUUCCCCAAUGUUGAAGAAUAACACCAAAGAAGCACGCUGAGG